Molecule: ribosomal RNA, 435 nt
Filed under: uncultured bacterium
Lineage: Bacteria
Description: bacterial SSU rRNA
Rfam family: Bacterial small subunit ribosomal RNA
Source: RNAcentral
GGCGAACGGGUGAGUAACACGUGGGUAAUCUGCCCUCGGCACUGGGAUAGCCCGGGGAAACCCGGAUUAAUACCGGAUGGCCUUUCGAGUCCUCGGACUCGUCAGAAAAGGUGGCUUCGGCUUCCGGCUGAGGAUGAGCCCGCGGCGGAUUAGCUUGUUGGUGGGGUAACGGCCCACCAAGGCGACGAUCCGUAGCUGGUCUGAGAGGACGAUCAGCCACACUGGGACUGAGACACGGCCCAGACUCCUACGGGAGGCAGCAGUGGGGAAUCUUGCGCAAUGGGCGAAAGCCUGACGCAGCGACGCCGCGUGCGGGAAGAAGGCCUUCGGGUUGUAAACCGCUUUCAGGAGGGACGAAGCCACUCGGGUUAAUACCCCAGAGGGUGACGGUACCUCCAGAAGAAGCCCCGGCUAACUACGUGCCAGCCGCUACGG